RNAcentral lists this long non-coding RNA (543 nucleotides) under Daphnia magna. RNAcentral describes it as "uncharacterized LOC123475307, transcript variant X2". Lineage: Eukaryota; Metazoa; Arthropoda; Branchiopoda; Diplostraca; Daphniidae. The record is from RNAcentral.
GUUUUUUUUUAAAUUGCUCCUUUGGUCAACGUGACCCGUAUUACUUCAUUUGUCGAUCGACAGUUCGCGAGGUGACACACGAAAAUGCAAUCAGUCAUUUAUUUCCACUUGGCAUAGUCUACCUUCAUUGGAAGAAUAGAGCAACGAAAAGCAGCCAUACUGCCCCGACGAACUCGAGGAUUUUCCACGUUGACCUCGAAUGGCGUCCAAAUUACUUUUGGCACUAAAAAUUUCCCGAGACUAGUCCUGCAUGGACGCGCACAGGAGUGGAGAGGAUGCGAACAAUGAAAUUGGCUGCCAAAAGCCUGUAGGGGGCAGCGUGAACGUCUGGUCGGAACUGCUCCGGCCGGAAGUUGACACUGCAGACGUAGAAGAUGAUUCGACUGUAUUCCACAUGCCUCUGCCUGUCGCGUUGCUGCCUAAACUUUGGUGAUAACUUUGCAACCGCCGCUGUUUCAAAGUUCAGUCUUCAACUUAUUGCUUCUAAUUGUAUUAUUGUCUAAAUAAUGCAGCCUAUUUAGAAUAGACGGCAGCACAAUCGGA